RNAcentral lists this transfer-messenger RNA (340 nucleotides) under Litchfieldia suaedae. RNAcentral describes it as "Bacillus sp. HD4P25 transfer-messenger RNA". It matches the Rfam family "transfer-messenger RNA". Rfam says of the family: Bacterial tmRNA, also known as 10Sa RNA or SsrA, is named for its dual tRNA and mRNA-like properties. Lineage: Bacteria; Bacillati; Bacillota; Bacilli; Caryophanales; Bacillaceae. The record is from RNAcentral.
UACGGAUUCGACAGGGGUAGUUCGAGCUUGGGUUGCGAGUCGAGGGGAUCGGCCUCGUUAAAACGUCAACGCCUAUAACUGGCAAAGAAAACAACAACUUCGCUUUAGCUGCUUAAUAACAGUCUAUAGCGGUUCCUCCCUCCAUCGCCCAUGUGGUAGGAUCAGGGACUCACUCUAAGUGGGCUACGCCGGAGUUCACCGUCUGAGGACAAAGGAAGAGAACAACCAGACUAGCUGCUCUCAAAGCCUGUCGAUAGGCCUAGAGGUAAGCGAAAUGCUAAUAUAUCGACUACACUCGUAGAUGCUUAAGUGCCGAUGCUUUUGGACGUGGGUUCGAUUA